Molecule: ribosomal RNA, 468 nt
Filed under: uncultured bacterium
Lineage: Bacteria
Description: partial 16S ribosomal RNA
Rfam family: Bacterial small subunit ribosomal RNA
Source: RNAcentral
GACGAACGCUGGCGGCGUGCUUAACACAUGCAAGUCGAACGGAAAGGCCCUGCUUUUGUGGGGUGCUCGAGUGGCGAACGGGUGAGUAACACGUGAGUAACCUGCCCUUGACUUUGGGAUAACUUCAGGAAACUGGGGCUAAUACCGGAUAGGAGCUCCUGCUGCAUGGUGGGGGUUGGAAAGUUUCGGCGGUUGGGGAUGGACUCGCGGCCUAUCAGCUUGUUGGUGGGGUAGUGGCUUACCAAGGCUUUGACGGGUAGCCGGCCUGAGAGGGUGACCGGCCACAUUGGGACUGAGAUACGGCCCAGACUCCUACGGGAGGGAGCAGUGGGGAAUAUUGCACAAUGGGCGGAAGCCUGAUGCAGCAACGCCGCGUGCGGGAUGACGGCCUUCGGGUUGUAAACCGCUUUCGCCUGUGACGAAGCGUGAGUGACGGUAAUGGGUAAAGAAGCACCGGCUAACUACGUG